GGAAGGUUGGUCGAGAGGCUUAAGACACAACUUUGCUAAAGUUGAGGCGUACGCGUCCAAGGGUUCGAAUCCCUUAUCUUCCU
RNAcentral lists this transfer RNA (83 nucleotides) under Peptacetobacter hiranonis. RNAcentral describes it as "[Clostridium] hiranonis tRNA-Ser". It matches the Rfam family "tRNA". Rfam says of the family: Transfer RNA (tRNA) molecules are approximately 80 nucleotides in length. Their secondary structure includes four short double-helical elements and three loops (D, anti-codon, and T loops). RNAcentral also lists the same sequence under 1 other name. Lineage: Bacteria; Bacillati; Bacillota; Clostridia; Peptostreptococcales; Peptostreptococcaceae. The record is from RNAcentral.